GUGGGGAAUAUUGGACAAUGGGCGAAAGCCUGAUCCAGCCAUGCCGCGUGUGUGAAGAAGGUCUUCGGAUUGUAAAGCACUUUAAGUUGGGAGGAAGGGCAGUAAGUUAAUACCUUGCUGUUUUGACGUUACCGACAGAAUAAGCACCGGCUAACUUCGUGCCAGCAGCCGCGGUAAUACGAAGGGUGCAAGCGUUAAUCGGAAUUACUGGGCGUAAAGCGCGCGUAGGUGGUUCAGUAAGUUGGAAGUGAAAUCCCCGGGCUCAACCUGGGAACUGCCUCCAAAACUGCAUGACUAGAGUACGGUAGAGGGUAGUGGAAUUUCCUGUGUAGCGGUGAAAUGCGUAGAUAUAGGAAGGAACACCAGUGGCGAAGGCGACUACCUGGACUGAUACUGACACUGAGGUGCGAAAGCGUGGGGAGCAAACAGGAUUAGAAACCCGGGUAGUCC
This 450-nucleotide ribosomal RNA is filed under the name uncultured bacterium. RNAcentral describes it as "partial 16S ribosomal RNA". It matches the Rfam family "Bacterial small subunit ribosomal RNA", at positions 354 to 796 of the family's 1533-position model. The record is from RNAcentral.